This is a long non-coding RNA of Eurytemora carolleeae, 636 nucleotides long. RefSeq lists it as uncharacterized. Lineage: Eukaryota; Metazoa; Arthropoda; Copepoda; Calanoida; Temoridae. The record is from RefSeq and is a predicted model, not a curated record. The transcript is spliced from 3 exons.
UACCCCCUAACUGUGCCUGUGAGGCAGGUAGAGGCACCUGUGCAGUAUACACCCAACCACUACGCUGGUUGGAGACCUGAACGUUUCAUGGAGCUACAGCGUCUUAAGUGAUGGAGAGUGGAAACCACAUCAAUAUAAUGCAAUGUAAAAAUGAAACUAAAAAGAUUACAUCUUUAUCGUGAUUAUUGCUCGAUAUCUUAGAAUUCUGCUAACAAAACAUAAAGGCUGACUAAGUGACAUAAUUACUGUCGUUGAAGAAAUAAAGUGAAGUAAGAUUUUGUGAUAAAAGAAGGAUAUAUCUAGUGUACAAAAGAUAGUUCUUUGAAGCAUGAGUUAGUUCCAAAACAUUUUUCACGUUCAGGAAAAUGAAGACUGCAGGUCAACUAGUUCAGACUGUGUCAAUAAUUGAUACUAUAAGCCAAUUAGCCAGCACACCAGGACAUUCAGGCCUGGACACUCUGAAGUCUUUUUCUACAAGUUCUGGAGUUGGUGGAUAUGAUUUAAGGGGAACUGAAAUUACUUCAAUACGAGGGAUGGAUCUCUCCACCCUACCAGGGACUUCUCUACCCUCCCCUCCUCCCCUUAGAAAUAUACAAGAGAAAUUUAGACACUCACAACAUUAUUUCAGGAACAACA